GACAGAGGGUGCAAACGUUGUUCGGAAUUACUGGGCGUAAAGGGCGCGUAGGCGGCCUUCUAAGUCAGACGUGAAAUCCCUCGGCUCAACCGAGGAACUGCGUCUGAUACUGGAAGGCUUGAAUCCGGGAGAGGGAUGUGGAAUUCCAGGUGUAGCGGUGAAAUGCGUAGAUAUCUGGAGGAACACCGGUGGCGAAGGCGGCAUCCUGGACCGGUAUUGACGCUGAGGCGCGAAAGCUAGGGGAGCAAACGGG
RNAcentral lists this ribosomal RNA (253 nucleotides) under uncultured prokaryote. RNAcentral's name for it is "partial 16S ribosomal RNA". It matches the Rfam family "Bacterial small subunit ribosomal RNA", at positions 524 to 776 of the family's 1533-position model. The record is from RNAcentral.